This is a long non-coding RNA of Spodoptera frugiperda (fall armyworm), 751 nucleotides long. RefSeq lists it as uncharacterized. The record is from RefSeq and is a predicted model, not a curated record. NCBI's taxonomy places the organism in Eukaryota, Metazoa, Arthropoda, Insecta, Lepidoptera, Noctuidae. The transcript is spliced from 2 exons.
UAGCUCAGCUCAAGAUUGUUCAAAGAAAUUCUAGCGCCUUAUAAUCUUAGUAUUUGAGCUGUGUUAGUUACAGAUGGUUAAAUAGAAUUUUGAGAUGAAUUUUCAAGUCUGACAUUUAUAAUUUACUAAUAACUGAAUUUUACUAUUAUCUUCACGUAAAAUCAAAUGCGAACGUUUGAACGAGAUUACACAAAUCGGGUCGGGACGGUCGCAAAUUACACUGCUUAAGUGAAAUUCAUUGUAUUCCCAUCAAGUGACAUUGAACAGUGAUAAUGGGAAACUAGGGCCAAUUCUGGGCACAAUACCAAACUAUUUUGACCUGGGACUUUGGGACCGAUAAUCUUAUAUAACAACUUUGUACAUAGUUUUAAUUAACAAUAACUUUUGUUUGGAGGAGCGUUCGGUUAUAAUGUUGAUGUAUUGAGGAUUAGAGUAUUGAUUUAUGGUUUGUAUAACCACGAAGUGGUUAGCGUUGAUACUGGUUAGAAAUAUACAGAAAGAAUUUAAUAAUGUAUGUGUGCCUAUGACAAAUUUUGUUGUCUUUUUUAUUUUUCACACCAUCACUCACGUAUACUUUUUCCUGUACCAUUAGUAAGAGUUUGUUUUAUGUUGAACAAAACGAGACCGUGUUCGGCACUCUGAUUGGUUGGUUCAUUCACACGGUUACGUUUUCGUUCGAAGCAAGCCCGUGCUAUAGGUGUUGCACACAAUUUUUUGUACACAUAGUAUUAUUUUUUGACAUAAAAAUACA